GGGGGUCUGCUUAUAUAGUCCCCUCAAGUGAAUAUGGGCCGUCGGAUCAAACCGACAUUAAUCGCACGGUUUUCCUUGAUCCUUUAGGUCGGUGGAGCAUGAUCCGUGAAGUUGGUUCUGAUUGGUGGGAAAAGUAGGGCGGUCGCCCAAGUGGGGAGGGCGGGCGCCCUGCCCCCGAGCCCACUCGGCUUCCCGUUCGUUCCCGUGGCUUCUGCAGUCUUCUAGAUGAUAGAAAAUUGCGCGGCACAUUAAUAUCUUUAUGUAAACCCGACGUGUGGGCCUUUCCUCCAUAUUUCCUGAUAACCCCCUGCAGAAAUAGACAAACACCAAAACUUGUGGAAUUCUGUCAGAUAAAACCCUAAGUCUAGGUGUCGGUUGUAUUUGGAUCCUUUUCUUUAUUUAUUUGAUGAUUACAUUUGAUACUUAAGGACCGUCAACAACUCCCCCACGCUUACCUCUUGCUCGUCCCUGAGCAAGGAUGGACUCAAGAGUUUCUACAGUGGUUUCAUGCCUUAAAGGUACACAUGCGUUCAAACAAGAUCUCAUCUCUGGGUUAAGGUAAACUGUUGAGAUUUAAAACUUACUCAUUUUACCUUUCACCAUGGGGCUUGCAACCGUCACUUGUGUCUUGAGCAGUUAAAAGAUAGAACUGUCAAGUCAAGCGCCAUGUCUCUUGUUCUUGAUCAAUUAUAGCUCUGGAGUUUUUGCAUAUUUUCAAAAUAAAACUCAGAGAUUCCUUGUAUAACUCUCUCAAUUCUAUCUUUUGUGGUAUUUCUGAAUCCUUACCAAGGCAGUGAUGGUAUAUGGCUUAUCUCAAAGUAUGUGGUAUUUGAGAUAUGAGGCAUAGUGACAUUGCCUUCUCUCUCACCCUACUCUAAUAAGGUUUUGAUAUCUGGAGCUCAUAGGUGGGAGACAGCUAAUACAUACUUACAAGACAUUUAUUGCAUAGUCAAACCAUGGAUCUAGAGAAAUGAGUCAAUAAGUUAAUAUCAAGAUGUGCAUGUGUGGCGAAUGAAUGGUGUAUGGUGAUGAUGGUGAAAACAAUGGUGAAAGUCUAAUUCUACUUUUGCUCUUUUGAGGGGAUACAUACCUUUCUUGCACUUUGAAGCUUUUUGAGUUGAAUGAGAUGCUCUAAAUUUUCUUUUUUUUUCUUUUCUCUCAUGUGGGUAUCUUGUACCCCUAAUUCUACUGUCGGACACUUGUCCAUUUUUGCCUCUCAUCUCACUUUUUCUUUUCUUCGAUGUUCCGGGCACUUGCCCCUUUUUAUUUCCUCGUAUUCACUUUUUUUUUCUUUCAGAGCACUCACCCUCGUGGAAUAAUGUAGCAAGUGGUUGUAACCAAAAUAUCUCGAGCAUUUAUUUCACGAGGAAUAACAGGGAUAGGAUAAUGUUUUUGGCUACUCUCUCUUGGAUAGGAGUAGAAUAAUUUUGGGUGAACUGGAGAUGGAAAUGAAUGGAUGUAUGUAGAUGCGUACUUCCGGAGUAGAAACAGCAUGUAUGAGUGAACGUGCAAGUGAAUCUUGAUUUUAACCGCAUGACAAGCUCCUAAGGGUCUACACAGCUUGACCACACUCAAUGCUCAUAAGUAGUAAAAAGUAAAUGUAUGUUUCAUCGUUUAAUAAGCAUGUAUAUGUGGCUGUGGUAGGAUUUUAAACUCUCAUCAUACAGGAACUCAUCAUCCAAUAUUUUAAAGAUUUUCAAAGAUAAAAUUCUCUAGAAUUCUAGCAUCUCUAGGAACAGAUAAACACCAGCUCAACCUUCCCAUAUCAUAUGCGUUAACGACUUAGACUUUUGAUCAGGUACUCUUCCCACAAGUUCAGGUUUAGAGCAAAUCUUAAUUUAUAACAGUCAGCCUAAACUUGAGAGAGAAUUUAAUUUUGAGAACUAGUCAUGGCAACUAUUCAUCAUUUCCAUGUGAGAGCUUAUCAUGAGGGUUCAUAGCAAACUUUAUUUAUUUAUUUAACAAACUAAGCAAAGAUAUAUAUAUAUAUAUAUUAUAGGCAUAAAAUCUUUAUUUGGGUUUUUAGGAUGAUGCAUCUUUUUAUUAUUUGAGUUAAGUAUAAAUGCGAGUAGAAACACUUAGCUGGAUAAAUGGGGGUGCUCUCCCCCAAGCUGGAUUUUGAUGUAUGGGGUGCUCUCCCCCAAGCUGGAUUUUGAUGUAAUUUCUUCUGAUGUAGCUAGCAGGUGGCGGAGGUGUAUUCAAAUGUCGGCAGCACCCUGACAGCGAUUAGGAUGUCCUCCAUCUGCUAGUCUUCUUUGAUCCUUGAAUUCUAUGGAGCUCAAAUAGAAAACAAAGCUUUGUGGAACUGGUUAAGUGUUAGCAUAAAAUCUCUUUGCCUUUAUCAUGUUGAGCUUCCUCUAAUAAAUAUUACUCUCUUUGGUAGGAUCAUAAAUUUAUUUUUAUUUCUUCAUUUCUAUAGGACAGGAAUAUAUUUAUUUUAUUUCUACGCCACCACAGUGAAUGUACUUAUGGGUUUUAUGCCACGAGCAUACUCAUAUGGGGCUUUAGAUUUUAUAAUGCAGUGCAACGAACAAAUAUUUUUGUUUUCUUUUCUAAUGCUAAUGUGGAAAAGUAAAUAUGCUAAUGCAAGUGAUGGAAUAAAAAGGAAAAGGAAUGCAAAAAAGAUAAAUAUGGAUAAAUACUGAUUUUACCUUCCGGCAAGGAUCCAAUGUAUUAAGUCUUCUAGACAACACUUCUCACCGUGUUCAUUCUUUAGGUGCGUCAUUUGAUUCAAGUACGGACCUUGACGUCUGCACCUCUUUAUACGGUGUCACCCAUGUUCUUCGUUUGCCCAGCAGUUCGAAGUGUGGUGUUGGCAGUAUCUUGCUCAGUGUGUUUGUGCUCAUAGAUCUAGGUCCUUCACUUGGUGGACUCUAGGAGUUGUAAAACUCCUCUAUUUUUCUCGAAGUGUACCUGCUCAUAGAGACAAGGUAGAGAUCAAGUACAUGGGCUCUGUUGGUGGAAAACACCAACAGAACCAAAAGUGUAUUUGUUCUUCUCUAAUCUUAAGCAUAGUGAGCAAGUCAAAGGUGAUGGAUAAUAAGAUCAUGAGUGUAGCAUUUAAAACAUUUGUCAGAUCAGAUCGCUCAACCUAAUGGAAAGAUAAUCUAUCUAUAUUUAUGUUUUUUAUAUAUAUCUUCCAAAGAUUGAGUGUGCAACAUUUUAGCUCAUAUGAUUAGGAGUGUGGGAUCACAAAGGUAGAAGGGCUAAACAUGUUGAAUCGAUUGGGUUGGUUAACCUAGAGUUGUAAAUCAUACAUGUUUGUCUCUUUUAUUCAUGUGAACACUAGAACCAAGGAGAAGCUUAUAAAAGUGAUAGUCAAGUACCUUA
This 3330-nucleotide long non-coding RNA is filed under the name Sorghum bicolor (sorghum). RNAcentral's name for it is "long non-coding RNA (SBIC_LNC012253)". Lineage: Eukaryota; Viridiplantae; Streptophyta; Magnoliopsida; Poales; Poaceae. The record is from RNAcentral.